GCCGCUGGGGCCGGGGGAGGAGGACCAGGAGGACGAAGGGCCCACAGGGAUGGAGCGACGGUGACAGGCCUGGCUCAGGAAAGAAGGAGUUCAUUGGAACCCAACCCAUUGCGAAUCCUGUCUGGCCGAUGAUCAAAAAUAAUCCAGAAUCCAACUGCUUCUCACAUCUCCACCCACCUCCCUUACCUGGGCCGCCAUCAUCUCUUGUCCGGACAAAUGCGGUCGCUCCUGACUGGCCUCCCCGCUCCUGCCCGCCACCCUGCAGUCUGGCCCCGUCACCUCGGAUCAGAAUGAACAACAAUACAUGUCCACUUAUGAAAGUCUGAAAAAUGCAGAAAAGUCAAAAUAAGGAAGAAAAAUCACCACCCACAGCCUCACCGCCCAGAGACAAUCAUUGUUCAGGUUUGAUGUAUUUCCUUCCAUAGUGUUUUGUUUGGGGACUUUUUUAAAAACAUG
Myotis lucifugus (little brown bat) is the source of this 456-nucleotide long non-coding RNA. RefSeq lists it as uncharacterized. Lineage: Eukaryota; Metazoa; Chordata; Mammalia; Chiroptera; Vespertilionidae. The record is from RefSeq and is a predicted model, not a curated record. The transcript has 3 exons.